This 287-nucleotide long non-coding RNA is filed under the name Lathyrus oleraceus (garden pea). Its description in RNAcentral is "Pisum sativum (pea) long non-coding RNA (PSAT_LNC020296)". The record is from RNAcentral. Lineage: Eukaryota; Viridiplantae; Streptophyta; Magnoliopsida; Fabales; Fabaceae.
AUGCCCCGCUGAUUAAUAUUCCUAAAAUAUCUUACAGUUACACACAUAUAAUAUUAAAUUUAUAUAAAAAAGUCAUGUUUUAUAGUAAGUUAUUUUUCUUUUUUUUCUAUUCACUUUUUUUUUCUUUCAUCAUGGCAUACUCUUUUGUCUAUGUUUUGUGAGUUGAAAUUGUUCAUAAUUACGACCAUUAACAAACUAAUAUGACAAAAUUCUAAGAGCAUCUCCAACCGUGAACCCAUUUUUGGAUUCUUUGUAGGACUUAUUAAGCCACGUCAGCUUGAAGCAAC